Molecule: non-coding RNA, 8503 nt
Organism: Podarcis lilfordi (Lilford's wall lizard)
Lineage: Eukaryota; Metazoa; Chordata; Lepidosauria; Squamata; Lacertidae
Source: the annotation of a GenBank genome assembly
CUAGCUACAGUGGUGCCCCGCAAGACGAAUGCCUCGCAAGACGGAAAAACCGCUAGACGAAAGGGUUUUCCGUUUUGAAGUUGCUUCGCAGGACGAAUUCCCCUAUGGGCUUGCUUCGCAAGACGAAAAUACCUUGCGAGUCCUGAGAUUUUUUUUUCGCUUUUCCCCCCCUUUAUCUAAUCUGCUAAGCCUUUAAUAGCCUUUAAUAGCCUUUUAGCAGCUAAUCCCCUAAGCCUUUAAGCCUUUAAUAGCCGCUAAACAGCUGAUAGCGCUAAUAGCGCUAAUCCGUCAAUGGGCUUGCUUCGCAAGACGAAAAAACCGCUAGACGAAGACUCUUGCGGAACGGAUUAAUUUCGUCUUGCGAGGCACCACUGUAUAUGAUACCGCAGGAACUCUCUGGGGGAUUACAGCUGUUUGUAACGACUUUGCCAAAUGUGAUAACUAAACAUUUCAAGCCCAACUGCUUUUACUCAAACCCCCGCUCCCCAACUGAAAACUGCUGGAUUCCGUACAAUCUGGUGUCUCGAGGGAUCCUAACCUAUUCUCACCCAAGCACCAAUGUGGCAACAGCGAGAUCAUACAAAGGACCAGGCCUGUAUCAAACACAAACACCUUAUCAGAAUAUCUGGACACAUUUUAAAAGUGGGGAAGGGGCACCCAUUUGGUAGGGCGCGACCCUGCCAGUAUUAAUAAUUGUGAGGCCAUUGUUCUCCACAGGAGAGAGUUAUGCAUGUCCUGGGCUUUCCUUCUGAAAUAAUAAGUGGGAACUGAAAGUGCUUAACUGUGGCAGGAUCAUGUCCACAACACUGACUCCCCUCACUCCCAAAAUGCAUACUGUACUCAGAUUAUUAAAUGCAGCUACUCUUGCUGACCUGAAUACUGUAGUUGUAGAACCUGUCAAUUGAAACAACAGCGAUAAAAACUAACCUCUACCUCACCAGAUGUCCACCCUCCCUGUUCUAUGCUGCUACUAUACUGGGCAAUUAAGUGCACUGUCUAGCAUAUCACUUACGGGUUCAACCACCUAGCAGAAUUUGAUGUUGCAAGUCUACAGUGAGACUUCCUUACUUUUGCAGCAACAAAGCCAAUCAGUCCUGGUUCUUCCUGUGCUGGGAUUUUACAGUCUUGCCAGACUCAUGCUGCAACCCUGUGCACACCUAUCUGGAAAUAAACACCAUUGAACAUGCAUAGGAGUAAUGGGGGGAAGCCAACACUUUGAUCUUCUAAUGUUGUGCAUGCUUAAGACAGUAUCUUUCCAGCUCUUCAACCCAAACCCACCCCCCUCAAGAACCUCCAAGUCCAUAGUCAAGGAUUCAUCCACUCUAAAUUAGGGAAGCAGACAAAGAGCUAUGGUUUCUCUUCUCAGAAAAUCCUCCAAGAACAGGAUACAAAUGAGCUCUCCCGUACCUUUUCCUGGCCAAUCAUUUUUGAUAGAAAGCUUCGAGGAAUCCCAGUAGGGCAUUUAAUCAUUGGACUAUGCAGGGAUGUUGAAACCCGUUUCAAGAGUUGACACACAUGCUUCUCACUGUCUUGACCUGCUGAUAACCAACUGCUGGAAACUAUAAGCCACAGUGGGCCACCCUAUCUAUCUAUCUAUCUAUGUAUCAUCAGUGAACAUUGCACAUGAAGAGUACAGAUGGGUAUAUUGAACAGACAUUAAACAAAAACUAGAUGGUGAGUUUUUAACAUCACGUGAGUUAACCAAAGAAGAAGAAGCCAGGACAUAAUAAGAUAUAUGAUUAUUUCCGUGGAUCAGAUGAAGAGUCAUUCCAAAAUGUGAUGGGGGAAGCUGAAAUUUAGAAAUCCUGUUAUUGAUAUAUGGAAAUUAUCAGAGACCAUUAAAAAGUUCUUGUUUGGCUGUCUCCUAGUGGGGGUGGGGGGAGUAUUCCUGUGAGGCCCAGGCAACAUGACAAAUAGCAUGGGAUGUUGUUGUGUCCAUGUUGUCCCUGUUACUCAGAUAAUUAAAAAAAGAAAGAAAAAAUCCCAGCCCAAUACUGUAAAUAUAAAGCAGGACAAAGUUUCCAAAUGUCUAUUAUUAUUAUUAUUAUCAUCAUCAUCAUCAUCAUUAUCAUUAUCAUUAUUAUUUUGAUUGAAUUUAUAUACCACCCAAACCUGGAGGUCUCAGCUAUUUCCUUCCUGCCUGUCACUAGUAUAACAUAUUUAAGAAGAAACUGUCAUUGCAGGUUAGAGGGGAGCCUUCAAGAUAACAGAGAAAAUGAUGGUUCUAGUUGCACCAGUUGUGCUAAGUCAGAGAUAGUGCUAAAUGCUCAUUCCCCAAAGAUAUCUACAUCAUAGCUAAUCUAUCACACAUGAGUAAAAGAUCCUUAUUUCUUGAACCCAGUUGACUAGCCUUUUCAGUAUCAUAUGCCAAAUGUAAAGUAGCUUUUAAGUGGACCAGUCUUAUUCCCCACCCCACAGUCUCCAUCCCUAUUUUAAAAAAAACAAAAAUCUAGAAAGAUAUUUAAAUGGAAAGCACUCCAUCCUAAGAGUCCCUGUCUGGAGUAGUGCAGCCCAGACAGAGGUUUAGCACCUCACUGAGUACUAGACCCAUGCAAUUAGCAAAUGAAGUGCAGAAUUAGUACCUUAGCGGAUUCAACCUUGGUUGCCUGAUUUAUGAAUAAGCCACAUGUGGCUAUAAGUUUGCAGACAAUGCCUUUGCGGCGCUACGUUCAUUACAGAAAUGCAUCAGCCAUCUGUUCCGCUGGCAAGAGAGGCACGAUUAAGUAUCAUGUGACACAUUGCUAGCCGUGCAACUUAACUUGGUUUAAGAUGCUGCUAUUUACACAGAGAGUGGACUGCUGAGGGUCUUAAAUGGAGCCAAAGCUUGUUGGCUCCAAAGUCAUAAUCUAUAAACCGGGCACCACUCUCUGACGCGGUUUUGCAAAUAUGCAGGAUUAUGAACUAGAAAAGAACGGUUUUCUGUCGAAGCCCAACAAAUGCAUUGAUGUGAUCUGAACUAUUUCACACCGUCCGUUCAUUACAGCCAUAGCUUGCAGUUGUUUGCACACAAAACUUUAAUUAUGCAGGGGAGGAGGCAAAAAAUGUCUGUGUGUGUGUGUGAGAGAGAGAGAGAGAGAGAGAGAGACAGACAGACAGACAGACAGACAGACAGAGAGGAGGGUGCUUUCUGGGGGAAAUAGAGCUAAAACCCUAUGCAGACUAACUUGGAAGGAAGACCCAUUUAAUUCACCAAAAAUAAGGAAUCAUACAUAAGAUCGGGCUACGCAUAUAAAGGGCCAGGGUGCCUUUAAACAUACAAAAGAUUCAGCACCGUAUAGUGACCAUGAGUGUUAGACUGAAGAACUAAGUUCAAAUUGCCAUUUAGCCAAGCAGCUCACUGGGUGACCUUGGGCCAAUCACUCUCGUUCAACCUAGCCUACCUCACAGGGUUGUUGUAAAGGUAGAAUGGCAUGGGAGAUGUGUGUAUGCUGCCUUGAGUUCCUUGGAGGAAAGGCAGAAUAUAAACGUAAUAAAGAAACCCUGGUUUCUUGCAAUCCUAGGUAUUUGUGCCACGAUUACAGUCAGAAAGCAUUUUGUUGAUGAAUGCAAAAAGGCGCUCCUAAAAUCCUGAGAGCUGCCUCUGUAUUAGGAAACUCAGCCAUCGCUGGUCACAUGUUUUUUCCACUUGCCAGUCAUAUUUGUUCUGUGAGGCAUACAGAGGCUUGAUCUACUAAAAGCCGCACAUAAUCUGAUCAAAUGCAGCCCAUCCUAAACUGCUCCAUCUAUCUUAUUUAUUGUCUGCAUGCAGAUGGCACAUCAUGUAACCUUCUUUUAAGCAACGUGUAUUACAGACAGGAACUCAGAUGGCAACAGGAUUCAGAAGGGUCCAGGUCUACGCAGCAACCCCCCUCCCAACCCUGUCUCCAGUAACAAAUCAUAGGAAGAGCCAUCUAGACACAGUUCAUGCACAUAGCUUUUGUGUGUGUUUCGAGAUUUAGCAAAAGCAAAGAUAAAAUAAAACCGGAAAAUUCAAGCAGUAUUUAUCUCUAGCUCAGACACCAUUGUUGGCAAAGCUUCCUUCUAUUCCAGAUAGGGAGAAAGAGAUAGAAAAAGUACGCAGCAGGCAUUAUUCACAAGCUGGUCCUGAAUGUUUGGGGCCUGAGAUGCAAAAAAUAUGCAAUCUUGGGCACACACAGUAUCAUUUUCAAGUCAGGGAUGCAAUUUCAAAGUGGCUAUCAAGAUGAAAGGCUUUACGGUAAGAAUAACCCUGUAAUUUCCAGCUAGAAUCACAAGGGAUGGAUAAAGCAGGGCAACAUGAGCAGCAGAAUCAAUUCAGCUGUAUUGCUCUGCAAAAGAUGGUGCUUUGUCAAAGCGCAGUGCCAAGCUGUCUGUCGGGGGGGGGGGGGGGAGAAAAUUCCCAAGUCAAAAUGCUGUGCUCAGAAAUUUCAGCCGGAGCCAGUUGCAAGCAGAGAGACAGAGGUGUGCUUAGAUUGCCUGCAUCUAACACACUUGUCAGAUGUCAAGUGGCUGUGCGACUACAACCUGAUGAGCCCAGUUCUUAAUGUUUCUAAAGUGUUGACCCUGUCAGCUGGGCUUGUCUUUUGUGCAGGGCACAAAUCAAUUGCUACAGUCAGCUAAUGCUACAGUGCUCAACACAAUGACUCAGAAAUAAGGACUGCUUAGAACACAAUGCAGUGAUUUUGAAACUGCCUUGGGCAGCAGAUCCAGUGGUUACAGAGCAAUGUUUUGAUUUGCUUGCUCCUUGUAGAUUUUUGUGCAGUGUCUCACAAAACCCUGUGGCUGCCAGAAAGGUUUCGUAAUUAAGGCUCGUAUACUUCUGUACCCUGAUACAUCUGUACGGCGUGCUCCGACUAAAAUAUAUAUUAAUGUAGCAUCUUCAAUGUAUACUGCACUUUGCAUAAGAGGAUAUGCCCCUGCCCAACUGGAGACAGGAGAGAUGACAGAGGAAGCAGAGGCAAAUGGAGGUGCAUGUUCCAUGUCGCUGUCUGUCUUGAUCCUGUUAUUCAGGGCUUUUGAUGGUAUACCUUGUGAGGUCACCUUGCUUAGACAUCUUUGACACAGGGUUCUCUUCUCUCUCCACCCCCCUCCCUUUGGGAUGCCUUGCACCCCUUGGUCAGCACCUAUUUGAGGUGUGCUAAUGUCCAGAACCUCACAUUUUUAGAUAAUUUUAAUUUUAAAAGGCCCUUAAAGUGUCCAUUGUGCACCAGCUCCAUUAAGCUCAAAUAAGACUGGACUUUGUGCUUGUGUUUCUUUCAGUGCUGUUACAUGUUACAACAGUCAAGACAGAUCCUCAUUUUUGCACCUCACAAUUUUUAAAGGAUGCUUACGUCUGUAAACAUAGGACCGACGAUUUCCCAGCUACUACAAUUGGCCAAAGUUCCCAGGGGUAUAUUCAUUCCUUGCUUUGAAAUAUGUGAGUGUCCUUCAAACAUUUAACAAAAGCAUAGUCAAUCCAGUAGAAAUGCAAGGAUUUGUUUUUGUUGCAAAAUGUAAGCCACUUCUCUCUCACUGCAAUAAUAUGCAUCUUUAAAAGCAGAGACAUCACCUUGCCGACAAAGGUCUGUAUAGUUAAAGCUAUGGUUUUCCCAGUAGUGAUAUAUGGAAGUGAGAGCUGGACCAUAAAGAAGGCUGGUCACUGAAGAACUGAUGCUUUUGAAUUAUGGUGCUGGAGGAGACUCUUGAGAGUCCCAUGGACUGCAAGGAGAUCAAACCUAUCCAUUCUUAAGGAAAUCAGCCCUAAGUGCUCACUGGAAGGACAGAUCCUGAAGCUGAGGCUCCAAUACUUUGGCCACCUCAUGAGAAGAAGACUCCUGGAAAAGACCCUGAUGUUGGGAAAGAUGGAGGGCACAAGGAGAAGGGGACGACAGAGGACGAGAUGGUUGGACAGUGUUCUUGAAGCUACCAGCAUGAGUUUGACCAAACUGCGGGAGGCAGUAGAAGACAGGAGUGCCUCACGUGCUCUGGUCCAUGGGGUCACAAAGAGUCGGACAUGACCAAACGACUAAACAACGUGUAGGUUUGCAUACUGUACUAACCAGCAGAUUUGGGGGGGGGGACCUUUCCCAAAUCUUAAGACUUAAGCCAGCAUCAAGAAACACAAGCUGCUGUAGUCACUGAACACUGACAAUGCUUUGCCACCAGCUCUUGUGAUCACAAUUUGCCUUCACCAACAGCAUAGACCAGGUUUGCUCAGCUUGGUGCCCCAGAUGUGUUAGACUGCCACAGUGCUGCACCAAUUACCCCCAGCUAACACAGCUGGAAGGAAGGCUGGAAUAGAUUGAAUGUCCAUUUAUUUGAGGUGGGUUAGAGUUAGAUGGCUAUUUGGAUAGACUUCCCAGUUGUCUUCAGAAAGAGGUAUCCAGCGAUGCUGGUACAUAGUCAUUAUCUUUGUGAUGUGCUGAACCCAAACGUUUGUAUUAGAACACCUACCUGCAAUGUAAGAAUUUUGAUAGGACUUGUGAUGAGGCACCUGAGGUAUCCCCAGUGCUAAGCAUUUAUAAGCUGUGUGUAUUGUAUUAGCUAACUGCCAAGGUUCUGCUGAGGACAGCUUUCAAAACAGAUGUAUCUAAAAUAACUAACUAUAAAACAAAAAUAUAUUUAUUAAUCAGCUUGCCCUUAAACAUGUCCAUAUGAGGUAUUGGACUACUACUCAACUUCAUAGAAAUUAAUUCCAGAUCUGCUUCUCUCUGCUGUGAAUUUUAUGUACCAACUUAAUCCAGCGUUGCUGAAUUAAUUAUACUUCAUACAUUAUAAAGGAACAAACUUAUUAAAUAUAUAUAUAUUCAAAAAAGAAAAAGUACAUACAAUUAAAAGAAACCCUUUCCAAUCUCAUUUAAAAUAAAUUGUGUUCUCCGAGUUUAGGCCUUGACCUACUAAGUAAUUAACUAUAUUCUAGUGGGUUUGCACCGAAAUUCUGUGCUAUACUACUUAAUCUGUAGCACUGGAAAAGAUUUGUCAAGCUUCAGGUUGGCCCAUUUGGUAUAGGUGGUAGUACCCAGAAAGAACUACUCUCAUGAACAAUGAGAAUGGCAGAAUCCGGCCCUGCAUAAUCAAACCCAGCCAUAUUAAUGUCAACCUCAAUAACCAACAAGCAGCUAGGGGGAAAAUCAAUGCUAGACGAGAAAGGACAAAACUGGUCAGGAAAGAAAAUUUAUUGGAAAAGCUUCUACGAGGGAACUGCAGACAAAGAAGAAUAAAAAUAGUCCUCGUCUCCUUUUCGGGCUCCAAUAUGCAGCAUGAAGUGCAUUGCUAAGUGCAUAAACAGCUUCUUGGUUACUGUUGUUAAAAAUAAAAAUAUGUCAAGAAGCUUUCUGAUGUACUUCUUUUCUUUCUGCUGCAGAAGAGAUGCCUGGCUUUUGUGAGCAAGUGGAACAACAAAAAAACCCCACCUCCUUCUGCCUUUGCUCUGGGUAAAGGAAGAACCAAAGGGGCCUGUAUUUGGGCAAGCAGAGUACCUCUCAAAAGGUGCUGAAAAUUGCUGUGUGCAGAAGAAGAGCACUCAGGAUCAGACCUCCAAUGAACUAUCUGUGCUCUUCGAGGUGACUGGCAAAGUCAAGCCUUAAGAGCCUCAGAAGAGACUCUUGAUAGCUGAAGAACGAAAGUGAUGACAUCAGCCAGCUAAGGAGUGAAUAGGGAACGCAGGGGUUGCAUAUUUUAAGAGUAAUCAUUAAAAUGGUUCGUAGUUAUUCAUAUGCCACAAAAAGAGUUUCACUCUGCCUGCCUUUGGGAGAAGGGCCAUAAUGCAUGCAAAAGAUCCUAGCUUCAAUCCCCAUCUCCAGGUAGUGAUGGUAAGGAAUCAUUGAGAAUAGUCCUGUAGGUCUGCUUUACCUGUGGAAGGUCCCAGCUCCAGGCAGGGCUGGAAGAGAAUCCUGUCUGAAAUCAUGGAAAGCCACCGCCAGCCGGUGUCAAUGGACCAGUGGUAGGACUCUAAGGCAGCUUCCUACAUUGCUAUAUACUGAAGAGCCACUGGCAGUGAGCGAAGAUAAUACUUAGAUAGACUGACAUAGUAUAAGGCAGGCUACUGUGUUCCCAUAUGCCACUGGGUGUGUUUUUUUAAAAAAAUAAGCCACGACAUCCUGAGAUGCUAAUGCAAGGAAACAGGUGUUGGUUGGGCUGGUAAACAACAAAACCCAGCCCACCCUCAUAAAACAAUUGUGCUGCUAGUAUAACUGGAUGUGGACAGUGAGGAUGAUCCCCCAAGUGACAAACAAGAAAAUGUAUGCCAUAGCUCCUGCAUUCUAAAAAUGGGCAGGUGUACAUUUAUUCUCUUUAGCAGAAUUUCUAGAAAACUGUUUUGUAACAUUCAGGGGGCAGGGAUAUGGAUGCGAACUGGGCAUUUCUUGCCAGUACUAAAAUAAGCAGCAUGAUUCAGUCCCAAAUCAAUUACUGUCAACCAAAUAAACAAUAGAAUUGUAGAGUUGGAAGGGACCACGAGGGGCAUCAAGUCCAACCCGCUUCAAUCCAGGCAUCCUUUGCCCAGUGUAUGGCUAUCAGUCAUUAAGAAAGACUGGGUUAGAUCUUCCAGAAUUUACUCCAAGCAUUC